GGAAUUACCGUUUUCUGAUCCACGAAGAGCACAGUGGCAUAAGGUAAAUGAAGCAGACGUCAAAGGCAGAUGUACUGGCACAAGAUAAAAAUGAUGAUACAGCAGAUGUUGAAGAAACUGAUAUCAGAGGCUGGAAGAAGGAAACCCAUGCUUUGCAGUGGGAAAAUAAUUGUCUCUCUAAAAAAUCCAUGGAAAAAAUACCCUCAGGU
Myotis brandtii (Brandt's bat) is the source of this 209-nucleotide long non-coding RNA. RefSeq lists it as uncharacterized. The transcript is spliced from 3 exons. NCBI's taxonomy places the organism in Eukaryota, Metazoa, Chordata, Mammalia, Chiroptera, Vespertilionidae. The record is from RefSeq and is a predicted model, not a curated record.